This 644-nucleotide long non-coding RNA is filed under the name Capsicum annuum. Its description in RNAcentral is "long non-coding RNA (CANN_LNC013320)". The record is from RNAcentral. Lineage: Eukaryota; Viridiplantae; Streptophyta; Magnoliopsida; Solanales; Solanaceae.
CACCCUCCCUCACCUCUCAUCCCUACCCCGCAUCCCAUACCCAUACCCGCACCCCAUACCCACACCCACACUCCCACACCCUUUUCUUCUCUGGUACAUCAUCAAACAACAAUACCCAUUGAAUUUGACUCGAAAAAUUGAUUGUCAGUUUCUUCCAUGUGUUGUGAAGUUAAAACUUCAUCUACUUCUGCUCUAGCCAAAAACAUUGCUAAGUCCUCAACAACAAUUGAAAUGUCUAAAGUCGUGUCGUCUGCUGAUUCUAUUAACAUUACAAAGUCAUUUACCACAUCAUCUGCUGGAAAACAAACAGAUGAUAAUAAGACGGAAGUCAUUUUUUUUUCUCUGUUUUUUCUAUCCAUGGCUAAAGUGAUUUAACUUCUUAACGAAUAUGGCGUUUAGCUUUACCAAACACGAGCUGUUUUCCGACUCUAAGAUCCUACUUACUUCUACACAUGGAAGAAAUUGACAAUUAAUUAAGAACAAUGGAUUGAAAUAGUGUUUUAAUAGAGGAAUUAUCUUAAAUUGGUAUUUUCAUAACUGUUAUUUGAUGGUUCUAAUGGAGUAAUUGGAAAAAGAAAUGGAGGGGAAAGCAUUUUUCAUGGCAUGGGUGGAGGUUGAAAGGAGAUAAAGAGAGGGUGGGGGGA